CACGGAGUUAGCCGGUGCUUCCUCACCCGGUACCGUCACGCUCGACGAAUCGAGCCGUUCGUCCCGGGCAACAGUGGUUUACACCCCGAAAGGCGUCCUCCCACACGCGGCGUCGCUGCGUCAGCCUUUCGGCCAUUGCGCAAGAUUCCCCACUGCUGCCUCCCGUAGGAGUCUGGGCCGUCUCUCAGUCCCAAUGUGGCUGGCCAUCCUCUCAGACCAGCUACCCGUCGUCGCCUUGGUGGGCCAUUACCCCGCCAACAAGCUGAUAGGCCGCGAACCCCUCCCCGUGCGCCGGAGCUUUCCUCUUCCCAGGACUCCCCAGAAAGAACGUAUGCGGUAUUACCCGGGCGUUAGCCCGGCUAUCCCCCACACGAGGGCAGGUUGUUCACGUGUUACGCACCCGUUCGCCGGUUGUCCUUGCGGACCCCCGUGACUUGCAUGUGUUAAGCACGCCGCCAGCGUUCGUCCUGAGCCAGGAUCAAACUCU
RNAcentral lists this ribosomal RNA (487 nucleotides) under uncultured Gemmatimonas sp. RNAcentral describes it as "partial 16S ribosomal RNA". Lineage: Bacteria; Pseudomonadati; Gemmatimonadota; Gemmatimonadia; Gemmatimonadales; Gemmatimonadaceae. The record is from RNAcentral.